UUAAAGGGAGCGUAGGCCGGAGAUUAAGCGUGUUGUGAAAUGUAGAUGCUCAACAUCUGAACUGCAGCGCGAACUGGUUUCCUUGAGUACGCACAAAGUGGGCGGAAUUCGUGGUGUAGCGGUGAAAUGCUUAGAUAUCACGAAGAACUCCGAUUGCGAAGGCAGCUCACUGGAGCGCAACUGACGCUGAAGCUCGAAAGUGCGGGUAUCGAACAGGAUUAGAUACCCUGGUAGUCCGCACGGUAAACGAUGGAUGCCCGCUGUUGGUCUGAAUAGGUCAGCGGCCAAGCGAAAGCAUUAAGCAUCCCACCUGGGGAGUACGCCGGCAACGGUGAAACUCAAAGGAAUUGACGGGGGCCCGCACAAGCGGAGGAACAUGUGGUUUAAUUCGAUGAUACGCGAGGAACCUUACCCGGGCUUGAAUUGCAGAGGAAGGAUUUGGAGACAAUGACGCCCUUCGGGGCCUCUGUGAAGGUGCUGCAUGGUUGUCGUCAGCUCGUGCCGUGAGGUGUCGGCUUAAGUGCCAUAACGAGCGCAACCCCUCUCCUUAGUUGCCAUCAGGUCAUGCUGGGCACUCUGGGGACACUGCCACCGUAAGGUGUGAGGAAGGUGGGGAUGACGUCAAAUCAGCACGGCCCUUACGUCCGGGGCUACACACGUGUUACAAUGGCAGGUACAGAGAGACGGUCCCUUGCAAAAUGGAUCAAAUCCUUAAAGCCUGUCUCAGUUCGGACUGGGGUCUGCAACCCGACCCCACGAAGCUGGAUUCGCUAGUAAU
This 778-nucleotide ribosomal RNA is filed under the name uncultured bacterium. RNAcentral's name for it is "bacterial SSU rRNA". It matches the Rfam family "Bacterial small subunit ribosomal RNA", at positions 560 to 1342 of the family's 1533-position model. The record is from RNAcentral.